Molecule: non-coding RNA, 132 nt
Organism: Streptococcus lutetiensis 033
Lineage: Bacteria; Bacillati; Bacillota; Bacilli; Lactobacillales; Streptococcaceae
Source: Rfam
GUGUUUCUUAGCGAGUCCGAGGUGGUGGAAGUCGGAUGAAACUGAAAUGAGUUGCUGGCGCUUUCACUUAGCUAGGCUAAGUUAAAAUCAAAUAAAUGAAGUAAUAAAAUAGGGUGGAACCGCGUUUUAACG